AAAGUGGAGAAGGAAACGCUGGGAAAUCUGGAAGUCAGACAUGAGAGCUAAUGCUGGCAGCUGUUGGGAUGUCCUCUUCCAGGAAUGGUGAUGAGUUUCCCUGGAUCCAGCCCUGGCUUGGCUGAGGGAUUAUUUUCAGACCUCAUGAAGCUGCUGGCUUAUAGAACAGGAGUCUUUCUGUUGGCAGCCAGGAGAGAUACAAGAGGGGGAGGACAGAUUCUGCAGCUCCAUUUCGUCCUUGGAACAGGAGAAAGGGUUGGAAAACAAAGAUCACUUUUCUCUGGCCAAAUGGAAUCACCCAACAAAGUACCUUCCUGAUGGGCCAGCUAUUUCAGAUGAUGAAGGUUUAAGAAGCAGCAUCAUCAGCGAACUGUGUUUUGAAGAUUUGAGGGAAGGGCUGACCUCAGGAUUUUAUACUAGGUUUGUGUAAACACACAGGAUUCUUUUUCUCUCUGUCCCAAAUUUAAUCAUCGCACUCAUUCAAAUGAAAUAUGAAGUCAUAAGUAUUAAAAUAUGCAUGAGAUUUUG
Molecule: long non-coding RNA, 528 nt
Filed under: Homo sapiens (human)
Lineage: Eukaryota; Metazoa; Chordata; Mammalia; Primates; Hominidae
Description: long intergenic non-protein coding RNA 2028
Source: RNAcentral